Molecule: small nuclear RNA, 161 nt
Organism: Sorex fumeus (smoky shrew)
Lineage: Eukaryota; Metazoa; Chordata; Mammalia; Eulipotyphla; Soricidae
Product: U1 spliceosomal RNA
Exons: 1
Source: RefSeq, a predicted model, not a curated record
AUACCUACCUGGCAGGGGAAACACCAGGCUUACGUAGUUGGUUUUCCUAGGGCGAGGCUUAUGCAUUGCGCUUUGGAUGUGAACCCCCUGCGAUUUUGCCAAAUGUGGGAAACUUGACUGCAUAAUUUGUGGUAGUGGGGGACUGUGCUCAGAUUCUCCUC